AUACGGAGGAUGCGAGCGUUAUCCGGAUUUAUUGGGUUUAAAGGGUGCGCAGGCGGCCAUUUAAGUCAGCGGUUAAAUCGUGGGGCUCAACCCCAUUCUGCCGUUGAUACUGGGUGGCUUGAUUGCGGUCGAGGUUGGCGGAAUUCGUUGUGUAGCGGUGAAAUGCAUAGAUAUGACGAAGAACACCGAUUGCGUAGGCGGCUGACCAGAUCGCAAAUGACGCUCAUGCACGAAAGUGCGGGGAUCGAACAGGAUUAGAUACCCUGGUAGUCCGCACAGUAAACGAUGAAUACUUGUUUUCGGCGAUAUAAUGUCGGAGGCAAAGCGAAAGCGAUAAGUAUUCCACCUGGGGAGUACGCCGGCAACGGUGAAACUCAAAUGAAUUGACGGGG
Molecule: ribosomal RNA, 392 nt
Filed under: uncultured bacterium
Lineage: Bacteria
Description: partial 16S ribosomal RNA
Rfam family: Bacterial small subunit ribosomal RNA
Source: RNAcentral